GUUGCCAGUUAGGGAUGGGCAGGGAUUCCACCCCAUUCUGGGUGAAGGAUUGUUCUGUUUAGACCCAAGGGGGAUUUUUUGUGUUUUUCUCAGGAAGGUGCAGAAGCCAUGGAAGCCUGUCUGCUUUUGGCUGGAAUUCAGUCAACUCAGCGCUGACACAUGAGAAAUUCUGAUUGGCCGCUACUGACAUCACAGGGCUCUCUAGGCUGUGAUUGGUGGACCAGAUCCUGUCCCGAGGACACCUGCUGGUGAUUCGAUGCUGAAUUAACUAUGAGGAGCGUUGGUCCCCGAAAAGAGCCAGGAAAUCAGGAGAGCGUCGUUUUAUGGAAACCAAGUCAGAAGAGUUUCAAUAGGAGGAGAGGCCAGCAGCAUCAGACGAGGGAAGCAGUCACAGAAUCAGGACCAAAGCUCAUCAGCCUUGGCAUUGAGAAGGUUUAUUGGUGCGCUCCUGUCUAAUUGACUGUCAAGAUGAGGAGAUAGAGACACAGAGCGAUUGAUGGACUUGCCCAAGGUCACCACAGCAAGUGAAGGGGAAA
Molecule: non-coding RNA, 536 nt
Organism: Delphinapterus leucas (beluga whale)
Lineage: Eukaryota; Metazoa; Chordata; Mammalia; Artiodactyla; Monodontidae
Source: RefSeq, a predicted model, not a curated record